This 1017-nucleotide ribosomal RNA is filed under the name uncultured bacterium. RNAcentral describes it as "bacterial SSU rRNA". It matches the Rfam family "Bacterial small subunit ribosomal RNA", at positions 17 to 1062 of the family's 1533-position model. The record is from RNAcentral.
UCCUGGCUCAGGGUGAACGCUGGCGGCGUGCCUAAGACAUGCAAGUCGAGCGGGGUAGGUUUAUGCCUGCCCAGCGGCGGACGGGUGAGUAGCGCGUGGGUGACCUACCCGGAAGAGGCGGACAACCUGGGGAAACCCAGCCUAAUCCGCCAUGUGGUCCUGUCCUGUGGGGUAGGACUAAAGGGUGGAUAGCCCGCUUCCGGAUGGGCCCGCGUCCCAUCAGCUAGUUGGUGGGGUAAAGGCCCACCAAGGCGACGACGGGUAGCCGGUCUGAGAGGAUGGCCGGCCACAGGGGCACUGAGACACGGGCCCCACUCCUACGGGAGGCAGCAGUUAGGAAUCUUCCGCAAUGGACGGAAGUCUGACGGAGCGACGCCGCUUGGAGGAGGAAGCCCUUCGGGGUGUAAACUCCUGAACUGGGGACGAAAGCCCCGUGUAGGGGGAUGACGGUACCCAGGUAAUAGCGCCGGCCAACUCCGUGCCAGCAGCCGCGGUAAUACGGAGGGCGCGAGCGUUACCCGGAUUUACUGGGCGUAAAGGGCGUGUAGGCGGCUUGGGGCGUCCCAUGUGAAAGGCCACGGCUCAACCGUGGAGGAGCGUGGGAUACGCUCAGGCUAGAGGGUGGGAGAGGGUGGUGGCACUCCCGGAGUAGCGGUGAAAUGCGCAUAUACCGGGAGGAACGCCGAUGGCGAAGGCAGCCCCUGGUCCACUUCUGACGCUGAGGCGCGAAAUCGUGAGGAGCAAACCCGAUUAUAUACCCCGGUAGUCCACGACACUAAACGAUGCGCGCUACGUCUUUGGGUUUAUCUGGCCGGCCGAAGACAACGUGUUAGCGCGCCGCUGGUGAGUACGGCUGCCCGCUGAACACAAAGAGUGACCGAGGCCCGCCCCAGCGGAGAGGAGGCGUUUCAUUCGAAGCGACCCGACGACCUUACCAGCCUUGCCUGCUAGCACGUAGCGAGGCCUGUGCUGCCUCCACGAUGCGUAACCAGAGCUGAUGCGUCGCUACUCUGCUUG